This 2260-nucleotide long non-coding RNA is filed under the name Triticum aestivum (bread wheat). Its description in RNAcentral is "long non-coding RNA (TAES_LNC025289)". The record is from RNAcentral. Lineage: Eukaryota; Viridiplantae; Streptophyta; Magnoliopsida; Poales; Poaceae.
UUCUGUGUGCGGGAGCUCGAUGAUUGGGGGAGUUUAGAUCUGUGGUUUCAUUCUCAAAUUCUAUUCGUAUGGAUUGAGAUAGAGAUGAGAAGGUAGGUCCCUUAUUCAUGUAGGUUUUCUCUGUACCACUAAAUGUUUGUUUGAUUUUUUUCCAUGUAGGUUCUCUCUGAUUUUGCAUUAGUCUAUGAUCUUAGUCUUCAUUCUUUUAUUUUUAGUUUAUGAGAUUUCAGUAUUUGAUUCACUUAUUCUUGGUUUGGCAGAUAUUCAGUAUCUCUGUUCUUAUUAUUCAAUUUUUUUAUUUCUCAGAUUAGGAUUUUAGUACCUUUUCUUUUAUUAGUCAUCAGUUUUCUUCUUUAUUCAAUCAUAUUCAGCCUUAGUUCUUGUUCAGUCUUUCUUUAACUUCUUUUGUCCUUAGUCUCCAAUUUUCCUCUUUCUUCAGUCAUAUUCAGUCACACUUUGUUCAGUCUUUCAUUAUCUACUUCAGUCUGUAGUGCUCCUUGUGCAUAUAUACUUUGUUUUGCUCAUUCUUCUUUCUUAGCUUUGUUCUCUCAUUUUGUAUCGGCACAACCAAUAAUUCACAAGAUCAUCUAAUCCACAUAGGCAAAGGAAGAUUUUUCGUAGUAAAAUUCAGUAUAGUGGAGGGAAAGGAAGGUUUUUCGUUGUAAAAUUCACUACACUAGAGGGAAAAAGUUUCAAUGUUAUUAUCUAAUUGUUUCAUGGUUUUCUUAGUCAUGACUUUCUUUUCUCUACCAGCUUUAGGGGGAGGUCCAUCUAAUUUGACUUUGCCCUGGGCUGUCUGCAGGUGGGUUAAACAACCAGAUUUGGUGGAUUAGUUGGACUUGUAAAUAAUUUUUUCUGAUCCCAACACACUUUAUAUAGAGAAGUAGUAUUUCUUCAUAUUGUUACUUUUUUUGUUUGCUUUUGUGCUUAUUGCUCAUAUUGUUAAAUGUUUGUUGGGGCCAGUUCUUUUGGGCAAUUCUCCCAGAAUUGACCCCCUCCCCAGCUUCUCCCAGAAUUGCUACUCCAUCCUUUUUUACAAUUCCUAGCUAGUUAAGGUCUAAUUAGCUAGGAAUUGUAAAAAAAGAUGGAGUGGCAAUUCUGGGAGAAGCUGGGGAGGGGGUCAAUUCUGGGAGAAUUGCCCAAAAGAACUGGCCCUGACUCUUCUUUCUCUGGUCACCUUCAGUGCACAUGUUUCUUCAUUAUUUCAGUAACUACCUUCUCAUUGUUCCGCCUUCAUUUCUCAAAUCCAUGCUUAUCAGUUAUCCCUCUGUAUGCAUCAGUGAUCAAUAUUUCUCUUCAGCCUCAUUAUUUCUUUUCGAGAGUGCGCCAAAGGCUUACCUUAGCUUUAUAGAAGGAAGGAGUGAUAUUUACAAGUCAGCCUCAUUAUUUCAUUAAGUCCCUGCUCUACCCAGCCUUCAUAAAUUCAGUAUGCCCCUGUGCAUUAUGUAUAAAGACUUUUUUGAGCAUUCUUAUUUUUUAUCUUUUUGUUUCACCAGGAGGUUUUAUUACUAACCAGAGGAAGUUUCUUCUCCCACUUCGUUUUAGCGCAUGUUGUUUCAGAUGUGUUAUGUAAUAGUACUACAUAGAAGAGUUUUUUGCUUCAAGAAGUGUUAUGUAAUAGCAUAAAAACUACAUAAAUAGUUCGUUCUGUUCUGUUUUUUUUUCACUAGACAUUGAUGCUAUUUGUGCUCUUUAGCAGUGACACCAUAGUCAGUUAGCAUUUUCUGUCUUUUAGCUACACUGAGCCUUUGAUUUGUUUGUACCAUUAGGCUGUAGGGAAAUAUUACUAUAUGUAACAUGUAUUUUUUUUGUUCUUAUAAGAUGUUGUUUCUCAUUUCUGAAAUUUAUUUCUUGAUGCAGCUUCAUUCGGAUUUAUGUGAAUAUAAGCGUAAGAGGUCCACUGGGAAUGAUACAAAAUAAUUUCAGACGUGAGUAUCCGGAUCGCAUUGCUACUGGUCGUCUCUUGCGAUGGCGUACAGCGGGCUUUUGACAAAGCCAAGUCAUGGCCUCAUGAGGAUGCUUUUGGAUUAACUGUAGUGCAUUGUACCGUUUUAUGCUCCAUGCGAGAGUUGUACAUAUCCUCAUUAGAUGUACCCCUGCCUAUGAUGGUUCUGAACUCAAAUAUUAGAGUAUCUGUAUAUUUGAUCAAUGUGGUACUAUUAUAUCCUAAUGUUAUAACAUAUAUGCCCGUAUUGAUAUACAUGAGUGUGAUUAAGAACAAAACAUGGCAGCCCAAUGUGUUGAAACAAGAUAAGUGCGC